RNAcentral lists this ribosomal RNA (497 nucleotides) under uncultured bacterium. RNAcentral's name for it is "partial 16S ribosomal RNA". It matches the Rfam family "Bacterial small subunit ribosomal RNA", at positions 28 to 507 of the family's 1533-position model. The record is from RNAcentral.
GAUGAACGCUGGCGGCGUGCCUAAUACAUGCAAGUCGAGCGAACGGACGAGAAGCUUGCUUCUCUGAUGUUAGCGGCGGACGGGUGAGUAACACGUGGAUAACCUACCCAUAAGACUGGGAUAACUUCGGGAAACCGGAGCUAAUACCGGAUAAUAUUUUGAACCGCAUGGUUCAAAAGUGAAAGACGGUCUUGCUGUCACUUAUAGAUGGAUCCGCGCUGCAUUAGCUAGUUGGUAAGGUAACGGCUUACCAAGGCAACGAAGCAUAGCCCACCUGAGGGGGGGGUCGGCCACAUCGGAACUGGGACACGGUCCCGACGCCUACGGGAGGCAGCAGUCGGGAAUCUUCCGCAAUGGGCGAAAGCCUGACGGAGCAACGCCGCGUGAGUGAUGAAGGUCUUCGGAUCGUAAAACUCUGUUAUUAGGGAAGAACAUAUGUGUAAGUAACUGUGCACAUCUUGACGGUACCUAAUCAGAAAGCCACGGCUAACUACGUG